GAGGUGCUUGCACCUUAUCUUAGCGGCGGACGGGUGAGUAAUGCUUAGGAAUCUGCCUAUUAGUGGGGGACAACAUUCCGAAAGGAAUGCUAAUACCGCAUACGUCCUACGGGAGAAAGCAGGGGAUCUUCGGACCUUGCGCUAAUAGAUGAGCCUAAGUCGGAUUAGCUAGUUGGUGGGGUAAAGGCCUACCAAGGCGACGAUCUGUAGCGGGUCUGAGAGGAUGAUCCGCCACACUGGGACUGAGACACGGCCCAGACUCCUACGGGAGGCAGCAGUGGGGAAUAUUGGACAAUGGGGGGAACCCUGAUCCAGCCAUGCCGCGUGUGUGAAGAAGGCCUUAUGGUUGUAAAGCACUUUAAGCGAGGAGGAGGCUACUGAGACUAAUACUCUUGGAUAGUGGACGUUACUCGCAGAAUAAGCACCGGCUAACUCUGUGCCAGCAGCCGCGGUAAUACAGAGGGUGCGAGCGUUAAUCGGAUUUACUGGGCGUAAAGCGUGCGUAGGCGGCUUUUUAAGUCGGAUGUGAAAUCCCCGAGCUUAACUUGGGAAUUGCAUUCGAUACUGGGAAGCUAGAGUAUGGGAGAGGAUGGUAGAAUUCCAGGUGUAGCGGUGAAAUGCGUAGAGAUCUGGAGGAAUACCGAUGGCGAAGGCAGCCAUCUGGCCUAAUACUGACGCUGGGUACGAAAGCAUGGGGAGCAAACAGGAUUAGAUACCCUGGUAGUCCAUGCCGUAAACGAUGUCUACUAGCCGUUGGGGCCUUUGAGGCUUUAGUGGCGCAGCUAACGCGAUAAGUAGACCGCCUGGGGAGUACGGUCGCAAGACUAAAACUCAAAUGAAUUGACGGGGGCC
Molecule: ribosomal RNA, 852 nt
Filed under: uncultured bacterium
Lineage: Bacteria
Description: bacterial SSU rRNA
Rfam family: Bacterial small subunit ribosomal RNA
Source: RNAcentral